Molecule: ribosomal RNA, 253 nt
Filed under: uncultured bacterium
Lineage: Bacteria
Description: partial 16S ribosomal RNA
Rfam family: Bacterial small subunit ribosomal RNA
Source: RNAcentral
AACGUAGGAGGCAAGCGUUAUCCGGAGUUACUGGGCGUAAAGCGCACGCAGGUGGCUGAGUCAGUCGAUUGUGAAAGCCCUGGGCUUAACCUGGGAAUUGCAGUCGAUACUACUCAGCUAGAGUAUGGGAGAGGGUAGUGGAAUUCCCGGUGUAGCGGUGAAAUGCGUAGAUAUCGGGAGGAACAUCAGUGGCGAAGGCGGCUACCUGGCCCAAUACUGACACUCAGGUGCGACAGCGUGGGGAGCAAACAGG